GGAAUGUCUAUAGAGAAUUUAAAAAAAAUGGAGCACUACAACUUAAAUAUGUACAGGCAGCAUAACUGUAGUGAAGGAUGGACAAGCAGGAACUGGAUCACCAUUUCAGGAGACACUGGCUCUUCAGAACAGAUCACCAUCCCAGGAGAUCUCUGUAACUUCAUCCAUGAGACCAGACACCAGAUGUAUGUCUUUCCAGUUGCUGUUAAAUCACCUCUGCUUGAAAAACUCUUGCAAGUUACCUUGCUGGGAAUCAUCAAACUUGCCAUUCUGGAGAAUACUGAUCAUUGUCA
Gallus gallus (chicken) is the source of this 293-nucleotide long non-coding RNA. Lineage: Eukaryota; Metazoa; Chordata; Aves; Galliformes; Phasianidae. The record is from Ensembl.